ACCAGCUACAAUUUGAGUUUAAAGUCUUAUUUAUAAACAAAUAUGGUAAAAUUAACAACCUUAGUUCUUCUGGUACUUGUGGUAACAGUCUUAAACGCAGGUAUGUCUACAUCAAGCGAUGUAGGGAGCAAGGGAGUCAAUCGCCAGGUCUUCGACAUUCCAUGUAAAGAUGGAUACAUACGUGUAGGUGGGAAGUGUACAGAAGUAUUCAAGGGUUAGGAGCUUUUUCGAGGUUUCACAUUCAAACACUAUACCGGGCAUCAAUAAAAAAAUGGACCAAUUAUACGUGUAUAAAAAAAUAUUAUAACAAUAUUAAAUGCGAAACUAAGAGACUUC
Molecule: long non-coding RNA, 336 nt
Organism: Sitophilus oryzae (rice weevil)
Lineage: Eukaryota; Metazoa; Arthropoda; Insecta; Coleoptera; Curculionidae
Exons: 2
Source: RefSeq, a predicted model, not a curated record